RNAcentral lists this ribosomal RNA (440 nucleotides) under uncultured bacterium. Its description in RNAcentral is "partial 16S ribosomal RNA". It matches the Rfam family "Bacterial small subunit ribosomal RNA", at positions 338 to 795 of the family's 1533-position model. The record is from RNAcentral.
CCUACGGGUGGCAGCAGUAGGGAAUAUUGCGCAAUGGGGGAAACCCUGAAGCAGCAACGCCGCGUGAGUGAUGAAGGUUUUCGGAUUGUAAAGCCCUAUUAUUAGGGAAGAAAAUGACGGUAUCUAACUAAGAAGCACCGGCUAACUCCUUGCCAGCAGCCGCGGUAAUACGUAGGGUGCACGCGUUAUCAGGAAUUACUGGGCGUAAGGGGCGCGUAGGCGGGAGUGCAAGUCUGGUGUGAAAGCCGAGGGCUCAACCGUAGAACUGCAUUGGAAACUGGAAUGCUAGAGUGCAGGAGAGGUAAGUGGAAUUCCUGGUGUAGCGGUGAAAUGCGUAGAGAUUAAGAGGAACACUAGUGGCGAAGGCGACUUGCUAGAAUGUAACUGACGCUGAUGCGCGAAAGCGUGGGGAGCAAACAGGAUUAGAUACCCGUGUAGUC